CCGGCGCUUUGCGACAGAUCCCCCAUCGUACGGCAGGUGCGACAUCAGGGCGACAGAUGUGUCUUCUAAUGUGGAGAGUUGACCGCUAGCUGCUUACCCGCAGCCGCGAACCAAAAAGCUGGGAAACAUCGUCUGCUGCACUUGGAAAUUGAAACCUGGCAACGUCUGUGAUGUUUGUUGCACAGUUUGCUUUCCUUUGGGCAAAGUUUCAUCUGGGAUAUGAGCUUCAGAACUUGUCUCAUCGUACGACUGUACGACGUAUAGCUUGUAAGCCCACUGAUUUAAGGAUGCAAUACGAAACUGUAAUCCGCAGACCUCCAUAUUAACUCCUUAAUCAAACCAGCUCUGCAGAACUUUUAGAUGCAUACAAAUCUCUCUUGAAAAUAUUCGAAGGUGUCACAAACAUCUUUCAAGGACUCUGGUAUAUUUCAGUUGAAAUUUAUUCAGACUUAUGCACUCCAAUUAGUACUACAUUCAAGGAUACUACAUUCAAGGACCGAUUUUUGGAGUCCAAUAAGGAUAUUGUAAUGAUUUUUAAACCUUGUACCGUCCUAAACCAAUCAAUAAGGAAGAUAUUCAACCACAGGGAAUCCGACGCUUGAGAUUUCAU
Long non-coding RNA from Stegodyphus dumicola, 610 nucleotides. The record is from RefSeq and is a predicted model, not a curated record. Lineage: Eukaryota; Metazoa; Arthropoda; Arachnida; Araneae; Eresidae.